RNAcentral lists this long non-coding RNA (468 nucleotides) under Mus pahari (shrew mouse). Its description in RNAcentral is "lncRNA (MGP_PahariEiJ_G0002517.1)". The record is from RNAcentral. Lineage: Eukaryota; Metazoa; Chordata; Mammalia; Rodentia; Muridae.
CUGUGUCACCCAGGCUAGUCUUGAACUCACGAUCCUCUUGCCUGUUUACACGGUGGGAUCACCAGUAGAACCGAAAGCUUUUAGGGCAUUUCAAGUUCUCCUGACCCACGCCACUUACCCUUUGGCCUGAUGACAGUUUGAGGCAGUGCUCUUUGUCAAUAUCAUCAUUUCCUGGCAAAUGGGCAGGAAACCCCUAUCUUCUACCACCGUCUGCCUGAUCCACUCUUCUUGAUUACUUAAAUAAUGAUGCAAUCGAAAACCCCUGCCUGUUGUUCCUGUUUGAAACGUAUUCCUUCCUUUUCAAGGAAGUGGCAGUGUCUAGUGAGAUCUGAAAAUAUGCUGUGGCUGUCUUCUCGGUCCACAGAAUCACUUCUAUCUCUUAUUCACUGUUAAUACUUUUGUUAACCUACCACUUUUCAUCUGAUCCCCCCCCCAUCUCUACUAAAUGCAACGAACAGUUACAAAAUA